ACCUUUCACUUUGUUAGGGAUCUUAUGGUCAGAUAAUACGCCUGUCGCACUCUUUCAUUUCAUCCAUCUUGUACUGAUCCUAUUGGCUUGUACAUGUCACACUUUGAAAGUAUUGAUCCUAUGAACCACACGUGGCCAAUUGACAUGACACUCAUAAGGACUUAACAUGCUAAUUAUGCUAAUAGGGUGCAAGUACUGUCUUACUUAAUAAGAUCUUUUACAAUUUCUCAACCAAACUCCCAAAAAUUAAAUUGAAUUCAUUUUUUUACCUCAAAAAA
Molecule: unclassified non-coding RNA, 278 nt
Filed under: Hevea brasiliensis (rubber tree)
Lineage: Eukaryota; Viridiplantae; Streptophyta; Magnoliopsida; Malpighiales; Euphorbiaceae
Source: RNAcentral